RNAcentral lists this long non-coding RNA (3549 nucleotides) under Homo sapiens (human). RNAcentral's name for it is "HSALNT0405601". Lineage: Eukaryota; Metazoa; Chordata; Mammalia; Primates; Hominidae. The record is from RNAcentral.
AGCCUUCAGUAGCUGGUAGUGGAAGGAGGAGCUCUGACUACACUCUCACGACUGUUUUUUGCCUCUUGGUUCUUGUUAUGUCCCUUUCUUUUUGAAAUAAGACAGAAGGUCCCCACCUUCAUAGACAUAGAGAGAUCCCAUCUUAUUUGUUUUUAAAAAUAAAUUGAAAAGUGAGGCGGAGCCUUGUGAGGAUGAUGGGAGAGGGCUUCCAGAGAGGAAUUUCUUCUUUGGAAUUCCUGAAAUGGGAACAAACUUGUUUUGGGAAAAGGACAGAAAGACACAAAGGUGGCUGCAGCAGAGUGAAAUGAAUAUGAUGGGCUAAGGCCUCGUACACGUAGUGAGCAUUGACAAAGAAUAUGGACUUUAGUUGAGAUGGGAAACCACUGGAGGAUUACAGCCUGGGGAUUACUGUUAAUUCUCCAAGAAGAAGACUGACCAGCGGCUGUGUGAGAAUGUCCUGUAAUGCAGGCAAGGGUGGAAGCAGGGAGACCAGCUAGGAGGCUGGUGGCGAAGUGCAGGUUUGGACGCCCGCUCCAAGCGCUGGUUAAAAAUAAUAUGGAGACGGCACGGGAUUUGGCCUCUAGAAAAUAUAGGUCCCAUUGAAGAUGUGCAGGCGUCUGCACACGGCGGUGUGGAGGAGAAUAUGACAUCAGAUAUUGUAAGAUGUAUUUCUUUCUCUGGAAGAGAAAUGCUUUUUGUUUUUUCUGGGGCUUCUAGAAUAUCAAGUGAGUAUCAUUUUUGACUGCCAUCAUGAUUCAGGCCUCAGUGUCAUGGACUCUAGCGACCGGUCACUGGAGGUUAUGACCAGCUGAGGCCUGAUUGAAAAUGGCAGUCAAAGGACGGCAUCACUUACAAACUGUUUGGUAGUGAGUGUAUUUCUCAGUAGCAACCUUUUCUCCUUGAAAAAUAAUUUUGUAUUUGCCAGCCAACAUAGACUUGCUAAAUAUUCCAAAAAACCCACUGCAUGUUCCACAAGCAUCCUCUAUGCUUUAUUUGGGGGCCAGUGACUUGAUCACUGUUUCACAUCCGGUUUUUUAUUUCACCAAGUGAAUAAAGGCCUUUGCCAACAGAACCCAGCAUGAUCUGAUCCUCAUGGUGUUUUUUUUUUCUCUUAUUGCAGAGAAAGUCGAAAGCCCAGCGUCAAGUCUGUACAUAUACUUUUUUUUUUAAACAGCUUUAUUUAGACAUAGUUGACAUGCAAAACAACUCACCCAUUUAAAGUACGUGAUUCAGCGUUUUUACUAUAUUUACACGGUUGUGCAACCAUUGUUACAAUCUCAUCUUAGAACCUCUUUAUUCCCCCCUCAAAGAAACCCCACUAGUAGUCACUCCUGUUUUUCCCAUCUCCCAUGCCCCUGGAUCUAGGCAGCCACAAAUGUACUUCCUGUUUCUAUAGUACAGUGCUUUUCUGUAUUAACCGGUUCUUAAGGUGACUAUUUCGCAUUGAUGAAGUUGCUCUAGCUAGAAAGCCAAGGCUCUUUCAUUUCCUUCUGCCCUUCUCCUUUGCCAUCCUUCAACACCAAGGAGAAUGGUCCAGCAACAGCUCGGUCCAAGCUUGUCAACCGCCCACCUCCACACACUCCAGCCCCGGUCCACAUCCCCCAAGGCUCCUUGUGGGAUUCCUCAGCAGCACCAAUGCACUGACUGUCACUAUGUUCUCCUAGAUUUGGUCGAAGAUCUCAGUGAAUACCCAUCUGUCCAUCUUGAAGACCUCAUGACACCGGAGAUGGCAAAGGAGAGACGCGAAGAUUACCUCUGCUGGGUUAACAUGGCACAAUCUCGGCUCAAUGAACCCAUCAGCUCCCAGGUUUGAGGACUUCUCCGGCUUCCGCAUCCCGAGUAGCUGGGAUUACGGACGCCUGCCACCACACCCAGCUCAAAUCAUUUUAUGAAUGCAUAUUUCCAUCUGGGUGAAAAAAAAAUCACAAGCCUCUCUCUCUUCCUACUGAGCACCUGUGAACAGUGACCUGCAGUUUGUGGCUGCAGCCAGUCCUCAUGGAGCCUGCUGUUCUUACAUUUCAUUCUGAGGCUCACAUUCUCAGUCACCAUGCAGAAGAACACCCGCCCCAUCCUGGGUCAUUACAGAGUGGGCCAAUCCAUCUGCUGCAUCUGAGGAGCUGGGUCCAGCUUCUACGGUGAAUCCAUAUAUUUCUGUAUUUCCUGGAUAAGGAAGAGGAAAGGAGCUGAGCUGGUGGAGGAAGAAGAUCUAAUAUUAACUGACUCCUUAUUUUGUACCAGCAAAGCAGUUGCCGCUACAGACUGAAUGCAUUUGGGCCAUCCGUGGGUUAGUGGGUUCACGGAAUUCACAUCAAAUCAGAAUCAAAACCAAAACCAAAGUGCAGAUAAAGGCACGCCCGUUCGUCAAGCAGUUUAAACCAAGUGAAAAUCAAAACCAAAACCAAAACCAAAGUGCUGAUAAAGGCACGCUGUGGGUGAUCAGGCCAUGCUUCCACUCAAAUGGAGUGGACAAGUUCCCAAGACCGGUCCUGUCAAGCAGCUCAAACCAAGUCAAAAUCAAAACCAAAACCAAAGUGCUGAUAAAGGCACGCCCGUUUGCCUAGGAAUUCAAACCAAGUCAAAAUCAAAACCAAAACCAAAGUGCCGAUAAAGGCAUGCCGUGGGUGAUCAGGCCACGCUUCCACUCAAAUGGAGUGGGCAAGUUCCCAAGACCAGUCCUACCGUAUUCCAGAUAUCUGGACUCCAAGCGCCAGUUCCUUCCCGGUGUUCAGCCACUGCACUGAUCCUCUGCGGGGGCCUGCCAUGCACUGCUCUGACGAGGCAUUGCACCGGGGCAAAUGCCUACCCAGGAGCAUGCUCAGGAACCGCGUAGCUCAAGCUGGCCGGAGUCCCCUGCAGGGAUGCUCCACAGGGCAAGCCUAAGCUGCCUAAGAGGCUGCCUCGCUUCCCGGUCAGGGAACCAAGAAAUGUAGCAGGAUGAGCCACAGACAAAACUCCUCAGACACCGGGUUAAACAAGGAAGAGGCUUUAUUCGGCCGGGAAAUCGGCAGACUUGCGUCUCAAGAACAGAACUAAGCUCCCCGAAGAAAGAGUUCCUGGCCCUUUUAAGGGCUUACAACUCUAAGGGGUCCAGGUGACAGGGUCGUGAUAGACUGAGCAAGCAUGGGGUACGUGACUAGGUGGGGGUAAGCAAGUCAAGGACGUGUCAACAUAGAGACUUAGGAGGACAAAGUGAACUUCCUGAUCCCCAACAGGCAGAUCCCCAAAAGCCAAAAUGUAUGUGUCACCUUGGAAGAUGACGCACCAGGAAGAAUGGGGAGGAGGGAGGAGGAAAAACUGCUGAUGAGGCCGACUCGCUCUUUGGGGCUUAUCAUAUCAGCAAAGCCAGCUCUUUUGAGAUGGAAGAACAAAGAUGUUUCUCCUCUGUGAGGAGGUGACAGUGGUGUUCUGGGUGAAGGAGAGCAGCUUUGUCCUGGAAGGAAUCUGACUUGGAAGGAGGCCCAGUUGUCCAGCAGUGGAUAUGACGUCAGAUAUUGACACAGCCAACAAUCGACUCAUCAUUUCUGAAGACCUGUGGAGUGUCCAUUGUGG